UUAGACAAUGGGCGCAAGCCUGAUCUAGCCAUGCCGCGUGUGUGAUGAAGGUCUUAGGAUCGUAAAGCACUUUCGCCAGGGAUGAUAAUGACAGUACCUGGUAAAGAAACCCCGGCUAACUCCGUGCCAGCAGCCGCGGUAAUACGGAGGGGGUUAGCGUUGUUCGGAAUUACUGGGCGUAAAGCGUACGUAGGCGGAUCAGAAAGUAGGGGGUGAAAUCCCAGGGCUCAACCCUGGAACUGCCUCCUAAACUCCUGGUCUUGAGUUCGAGAGAGGUGAGUGGAAUUCCAAGUGUAGAGGUGAAAUUCGUAGAUAUUUGGAGGAACACCAGUGGCGAAGGCGGCUCACUGGCUCGAUACUGACGCUGAGGUACGAAAGUGUGGGGAGCAAACAGGAUUAGAUACCCUGGUAGUCCACACCGUAAACGAUGAAUGCCAGUCGUCGGGCAGUAUACUGUUCGGUGACACACCUAACGGAUUAAGCAUCC
RNAcentral lists this ribosomal RNA (487 nucleotides) under uncultured Sulfitobacter sp. RNAcentral's name for it is "bacterial SSU rRNA". It matches the Rfam family "Bacterial small subunit ribosomal RNA", at positions 364 to 869 of the family's 1533-position model. Lineage: Bacteria; Pseudomonadati; Pseudomonadota; Alphaproteobacteria; Rhodobacterales; Roseobacteraceae. The record is from RNAcentral.